GUCUGAUGUGAAAGCCCCCGGCUCAACCGGGGAGGGUCAUUGGAAACUGGGGAACUUGAGUGCAGAAGAGGAGAGUGGAAUUCCACGUGUAGCGGUGAAAUGCGUAGAGAUGUGGAGGAACACCAGUGGCGAAGGCGACUCUCUGGUCUGUAACUGACGCUGAGGAGCGAAAGCGUGGGGAGCGAACAGGAUUAGAUACCCUGGUAGUCCACGCCGUAAACGAUGAGUGCUAAGUGUUAGGGGGUUUCCGCCCCUUAGUGCUGCAGCUAACGCAUUAAGCACUCCGCCUGGGGAGUACGGUCGCAAGACUGAAACUCAAAGGAAUUGACGGGGGCCCGCACAAGCGGUGGAGCAUGUGGUUUAAUUCGAAGCAACGCGAAGAACCUUACCAGGUCUUGACAUCCUCUGACAAUCCUAGAGAUAGGACGUCCCCUUCGGGGGCAGAGUGACAGGUGGUGCAUGGUUGUCGUCAGCUCGUGUCGUGAGAUGUUGGGUUAAGUCCCGCAACGAGCGCAACCCUUGAUCUUAGUUGCCAGCAUUCAGUUGGGCACUCUAAGGUGACUGCCGGUGACAAACCGGAGGA
Molecule: ribosomal RNA, 583 nt
Filed under: Bacillus subtilis
Lineage: Bacteria; Bacillati; Bacillota; Bacilli; Caryophanales; Bacillaceae
Description: bacterial SSU rRNA
Rfam family: Bacterial small subunit ribosomal RNA
Source: RNAcentral